AGUGAACGCUGGCGGUAGGCCUAACACAUGCAAGUCGAACGGCAGCACAGUAAGAGCUUGCUCUUACGGGUGGCGAGUGGCGGACGGGUGAGGAAUACAUCGGACUCUACUUUUUCGUGUGGGUUAACGUAGGGAAACUUACGCUAAUACCGCAUACGCCCUACGGGUGAAAGCAGGGGAUCUUCGGACCUUGCGCGAUUGAAUGCGCCGAUGUCGGAUUGGAUAGUUGGCGGGGUAAAGGCCCACCAAGGGGCCGAUCCGUAGCUGGUCUGAGAGGAUGAUCAGCCGCACUGGAAGUGAGACACGGUCCAGGCGCCUACGGGAGGGAGCAGUGGGGAAUAUUGGACAAUGGGCGGAAGCCUGGUCCAGCCAUACCGCGUGGGUGAAGGAGACCUUCGGGUUGUAAAGCCCUUUUGUUGGGAAAGAAAAGCAGCAGGUUAAUACCCCGCUGUUCUGACGGUACCCAAAGAAUAAGCACCGGCUAACUUCGUG
This 492-nucleotide ribosomal RNA is filed under the name uncultured bacterium. RNAcentral describes it as "partial 16S ribosomal RNA". It matches the Rfam family "Bacterial small subunit ribosomal RNA", at positions 29 to 507 of the family's 1533-position model. The record is from RNAcentral.